This is a long non-coding RNA of Lacerta agilis (Sand lizard), 306 nucleotides long. RefSeq lists it as uncharacterized. Lineage: Eukaryota; Metazoa; Chordata; Lepidosauria; Squamata; Lacertidae. The transcript has 3 exons. The record is from RefSeq and is a predicted model, not a curated record.
CACCAUUAAAGCCCAAGAAGGAAGUAGAUGCUCGCAGGUGGUGGUGUUUUUAAAUAGUUGUGUUGUGAAGCAAUGGCAUUGCAAAUGGUUGCCCGCUUGAAUUUGAAGUCCGGGGAACGCAUUGAAUUGAAAGCCAAGGUGCCCCGAGAGGCCAAAAGCUUUACCUUUGAUAUCGGCCAGAAUCCCUCGAAUCUGCUUCUUCGCUUUAACGCUCGAUUUGAGACAUACGACGGAGAUAGAGUCGUUGUUUUUAGAUCUGAUACGGGGGGAGAGAGGGACCUUCUCUUGGACCUGGGACUAUUCGUC